UUUUUACAAUGGAGAGUUUGAUCUUGGCUCAGGAUGAACGCUAGCGGCAGGCCUAAUACAUGCAAGUCGAACGGUUUCUAGCAAUAGGAAUAGUGGCGCACGGGUGCGUAACGCGUAACCAACCUACCCGAAUCUGGGGGAUAGCCCGCCGAAAGGCGGAUUAAUACCGCAUAAAACGGCAGACCGGC
Molecule: ribosomal RNA, 188 nt
Filed under: Hymenobacter lapidarius
Lineage: Bacteria; Pseudomonadati; Bacteroidota; Cytophagia; Cytophagales; Hymenobacteraceae
Description: partial 16S ribosomal RNA
Rfam family: Bacterial small subunit ribosomal RNA
Source: RNAcentral